GACGAACGCUGGCGGCGUGCUUAACACAUGCAAGUCGAACGGACAGGCCCUGCUUUUGUGGCGUGCUCGAGUGCCGCACGCGUGAGUAACACGUGAGUAACCUGCCCUUGACUUUGUGAUAACUUCUGGAAACUGGGGCUCAUACCGGAUAGGAGCUCCUGCUGCAUGGUGGGGGUUGGAAAGUUUCGGCGGUUGGGGAUGGUAUGGCAGCUUAUCAGCUUGUUGGUGGGGUAGUGGCUUACCAAGGGUUUGACGGGUAGGCGGCCUUGGAGGGUUACCGGCCACAUGGGGACUGAGAGACGGACCAGAAGCGUACGGGAGGCAGCAGUGGGGAAUAUUGCAGAAUGGGCGGAAGUCUGAUGUAGCGACCCCGCGUGCGGGAUGACGGCCUACGGGGUGUAAACCGCUGUCGCCGGUGACGAAGCGGGAGUGACGGUAACGGGUAAAGAAGCACCGGCUAACUACGUG
RNAcentral lists this ribosomal RNA (468 nucleotides) under uncultured bacterium. RNAcentral's name for it is "partial 16S ribosomal RNA". It matches the Rfam family "Bacterial small subunit ribosomal RNA", at positions 28 to 507 of the family's 1533-position model. The record is from RNAcentral.